Molecule: long non-coding RNA, 559 nt
Organism: Larimichthys crocea (large yellow croaker)
Lineage: Eukaryota; Metazoa; Chordata; Actinopteri; Sciaenidae
Exons: 3
Source: RefSeq, a predicted model, not a curated record
AAAAACUUCCACUUGCAGUUGUCGUGAUAUCACUUAAACAAUGUUUGUAGAUAUUAAAAAACCUUUAACCUGAUCUCUCAAACAACAGGUUUCACUGUGAAGGAUGGAAGAUUUACACAUGAACAACACCUCACAGGAGGAAAGCUUUGAUUACAGCAACAUCACCUACGACUACGAUGGUCGUGGAAAGGACAUAUCAGUCAGAUAUAUAGUGCCAUGCAUCAUUUCUAUCGGACUUCCUUUGACCCUCGUGGCCAUCUGUGCUUUUUAUUCUCUGGUGAGAAAUGGUCAAGUUGCUCCGAUCUACGUCAUCAACCUUCUCAUCACCGACCUCAUUCAGCUCUGCUGCAUGAUUGCUGAGGUGACACCACCAGAACAUCGGAAGGUAUCUAUAAGGGUCUUCAGUGAUCUUUAUUUCACUGGUGUGUUGGCCAGUGUCGGCUUCAUGGUGUGUGUCUCCCUGGAAAGGUAACUAUCUGUCUAUCCAGUAUGUGUGUAGCUUCUGUGUCUGAUCAUUAUAUUACUUUAUAAUUCUGAAGCUCCUCAAAGACUAUGUGUC